GGUGGCUUAGUGGUAGAGUGCUUGCCUAACAUGCAUGAAGGCCUGGGUUCAAUUCCUCAGUACCA
This 65-nucleotide transfer RNA is filed under the name Dipodomys ordii (Ord's kangaroo rat). It matches the Rfam family "tRNA". Rfam says of the family: Transfer RNA (tRNA) molecules are approximately 80 nucleotides in length. Their secondary structure includes four short double-helical elements and three loops (D, anti-codon, and T loops). The record is from Rfam by way of RNAcentral. Lineage: Eukaryota; Metazoa; Chordata; Mammalia; Rodentia; Heteromyidae.